CGUGCUUAACACAUGCAAGUCGCACGAGAACUCUUCUGCUUGCAGAAGAUAGUAAGUGGCGCACGGGUGAGUAACGCGUGAGUAAUCUAGCUUCGAAUUUGGGAUAACAUGCCGAAAGGCUUGCUAAUACCGGAUAAUAUCUGCAAAACAUAGGUUUUACAGAUCAAAGGUGGCCUCUAUAUAUAAGCUACUGUUUGAAGAUGAGCCCGCGUACCAUUAGCUUGUUGGUAGGGUAAUGGCCUACCAAGGCUACGAUGGUUAGCUGGUCUGAGAGGAUGAUCAGCCACACUGGAACUGACACACGGUCCAGACUCCUACGGGAGGCAGCAGUGAGGAAUUUUGCGCAAUGGGGGAAACCCUGACGCAGCAACGCCGCGUGAGUGAUGAAGGCUUUCGGGUCGUAAAGCUCUGUCAAGUGAGAAGAAACUAUUGUGUGCCAAUAACACGCAAUACUGACGGUACCACUAAAGGAAGCACCGGCUAACUCCGUGCCAGCAGCCGCGGUAAUACGGGGGGUGCAAGCGUUAUCCGGAAUUAUUGGGCGUAAAGAGCACGUAGGCGGCUCCUUAAGUCAGAUGUGAAAGCCCGGGGCUUAACCCCGGAAGUGCAUUUGAAACUAAGGAGCUUGAGUAUGGGAGAGGGAAGUGGAAUUCCUGGUGUAGAGGUGAAAUUCGUAGAUAUCAGGAGGAACACCAGUGGCGAAGGCGACUUCCUGGACCAAUACUGACGCUGAGGUGCGAAGGCGUGGGUAGCGAACAGGAUUAGAUACCCUGGUAGUCCACGCAGUAAACGAUGAACACUAGGUGUAGCGGGUAUUGACCCCUGCUGUGCCGCAGCUAACGCAUUAAGUGUUCCGCCUGGGGAGUACGAUCGCAAGAUUAAAACUCAAAGGAAUUGACGGGGGCCCGCACAAGCGGUGGAGCAUGUGGUUUAAUUCGACGCAACGCGAAGAACCUUACCUGGAUUUGACAUCUCGGGAAUUCUAUCGAAAGAUUGAAGUGCCCUUC
This 1007-nucleotide ribosomal RNA is filed under the name uncultured bacterium. RNAcentral's name for it is "bacterial SSU rRNA". It matches the Rfam family "Bacterial small subunit ribosomal RNA", at positions 43 to 1022 of the family's 1533-position model. The record is from RNAcentral.